AGACCCGAAACCCGGUGAUCUAGCCAUGGGCAGGUUGAAGGUUGGGUAACACUAACUGGAGGACCGAACCGACUAAUGUUGAAAAAUUAGCGGAUGACCUGUGGCUGGGGGUGAAAGGCCAAUCAAACCGGGAGAUAGCUGGUUCUCCCCGAAAGCUAUUUAGGUAGCGCCUCGUGAAUUCAUCUCCGGGGGUAGAGCACUGUUUCGGCUAGGGGGUCAUCCCGACUUACCAACCCGAUGCAAACUGCGAAUACCGGAGAAUGUUAUCACGGGAGACACACGGCGGGUGCUAACGUCCGUCGUGAAGAGGGAAACAACCCAGACCGCCAGCUAAGGUCCCAAAGUCAUGGUUAAGUGGGAAACGAUGUGGGAAGGCCCAGACAGCCAGGAUGUUGGCUUAGAAGCAGCCAUCAUUUAAAGAAAGCGUAAUAGCUCACUGGUCGAGUCGGCCUGCGCGGAAGAUGUAACGGGGCUAAACCAUGCACCGAAGCUGCGGCAGCGACACUGUGUGUUGUUGGGUAGGGGAGCGUUCUGUAAGCCUGUGAAGGUGGCCUGUGAGGGUUGCUGGAGGUAUCAGAAGUGCGAAUGCUGACAUAAGUAACGAUAAAGCGGGUGAAAAGCCCGCUCGCCGGAAGACCAAGGGUUCCUGUCCAACGUUAAUCGGGGCAGGGUGAGUCGACCCCUAAGGCGAGGCCGAAAGGCGUAGUCGAUGGGAAACGGGUUAAUAUUCCCGUACUUGGUGUUACUGCGAAGGGGGGACGGAGAAGGCUAUGUUGGCCGGGCGACGGUUGUCCCGGUUUAAGCGUGUAGGUGUGUGUUCCAGGUAAAUCCGGUUCACUUUAACACUGAGGCGUGACGACGAGGCACUACGGUGCUGAAGCAACAAAUGCCCUGCUUCCAGGAAAAGCCUCUAAGCAUCAGGUAACAUCAAAUCGUACCCCAAACCGACACAGGUGGUCAGGUAGAGAAUACCAAGGCGCUUGAGAGAACUCGGGUGAAGGAACUAGGCAAAAUGGUGCCGUAACUUCGGGAGAAGGCACGCUGACACGUAGGUGAAGUGAUUUACUCACGGAGCUGAAGUCAGUCGAAGAUACCAGCUGGCUGCAACUGUUUAUUAAAAACACAGCACUGUGCAAACACGAAAGUGGACGUAUACGGUGUGACGCCUGCCCGGUGCCGGAAGGUUAAUUGAUGGGGUCAGCGCAAGCGAAGCUCCUGAUCGAAGCCCCGGUAAACGGCGGCCGUAACUAUAACGGUCCUAAGGUAGCGAAAUUCCUUGUCGGGUAAGUUCCGACCUGCACGAAUGGCGUAAUGAUGGCCAGGCUGUCUCCACCCGAGACUCAGUGAAAUUGAACUCGCUGUGAAGAUGCAGUGUACCCGCGGCAAGACGGAAAGACCCCGUGAACCUUUACUAUAGCUUGACACUGAACAUUGAGCCUUGAUGUGUAGGAUAGGUGGGAGGCUUUGAAGCGUGGACGCCAGUCUGCGUGGAGCCGACCUUGAAAUACCACCCUUUAAUGUUUGAUGUUCUAACGUGGACCCGUGAUCCGGGUUGCGGACAGUGUCUGGUGGGUAGUUUGACUGGGGCGGUCUCCUCCUAAAGAGUAACGGAGGAGCACGAAGGUUGGCUAAUCCUGGUCGGACAUCAGGAGGUUAGUGCAAUGGCAUAAGCCAGCUUGACUGCGAGCGUGACGGCGCGAGCAGGUGCGAAAGCAGGUCAUAGUGAUCCGGUGGUUCUGAAUGGAAGGGCCAUCGCUCAACGGAUAAAAGGUACUCCGGGGAUAACAGGCUGAUACCGCCCAAGAGUUCAUAUCGACGGCGGUGUUUGGCACCUCGAUGUCGGCUCAUCACAUCCUGGGGCUGAAGUAGGUCCCAAGGGUAUGGCUGUUCGCCAUUUAAAGUGGUACGCGAGCUGGGUUUAGAACGUCGUGAGACAGUUCGGUCCCUAUCUGCCGUGGGCGCUGGAGAACUGAGGGGGGCUGCUCCUAGUACGAGAGGACCGGAGUGGACGCAUCACUGGUGUUCGGGUUGUCAUGCCAAUGGCACUGCCCGGUAGCUAAAUGCGGAAGAGAUAAGUGCUGAAAGCAUCUAAGCACGAAACUUGCCCCGAGAUGAGUUCUCCCUGAGACUUAGAGUCUCCUGAAGGAACGUUGAAGACGACGACGUUGAUAGGCCGGG
Molecule: ribosomal RNA, 2178 nt
Filed under: Salmonella enterica
Lineage: Bacteria; Pseudomonadati; Pseudomonadota; Gammaproteobacteria; Enterobacterales; Enterobacteriaceae
Description: partial 23S ribosomal RNA
Rfam family: Bacterial large subunit ribosomal RNA
Source: RNAcentral